UGGGGAAUAUUGCACAAUGGGCGUAAGCCUGAUGCAGCCAUGCCGCGUGUAUGAAGAAGGCCUUCGGGUUGUAAAGUACUUUCAGCGGGGAGGAAGGGAGUAAAGUUAAUACCUUUGCUCAUUGACGUUACCCGCAGAAGAAGCACCGGCUAACUCCGUGCCAGCAGCCGCGGUAAUACGGAGGGUGCAAGCGUUAAUCGGAAUUACUGGGCGUAAAGCGCACGCAGGCGGUUGAUUGAGUCAGAUGUGAAAUCCCCGGGCUUAACCCGGGAAUUGCAUCUGAUACUGGUCAGCUAGAGUCUUGUAGAGGGGGGUAGAAUUCCAUGUGUAGCGGUGAAAUGCGUAGAGAUGUGGAGGAAUACCGGUGGCGAAGGCGGCCCCCUGGACAAAGACUGACGCUCAGGUGCGAAAGCGUGGGGAGCAAACAGG
RNAcentral lists this ribosomal RNA (429 nucleotides) under Chloroflexota bacterium. RNAcentral's name for it is "Chloroflexi bacterium partial 16S ribosomal RNA". It matches the Rfam family "Bacterial small subunit ribosomal RNA", at positions 355 to 776 of the family's 1533-position model. Lineage: Bacteria; Bacillati; Chloroflexota. The record is from RNAcentral.